Molecule: long non-coding RNA, 1656 nt
Filed under: Vigna radiata
Lineage: Eukaryota; Viridiplantae; Streptophyta; Magnoliopsida; Fabales; Fabaceae
Description: long non-coding RNA (VRAD_LNC017598)
Source: RNAcentral
UCGGUUAGAGUCUGGUGUUAAUGAUGGGUUUCUACGUAAUUGAUCCACUGGUUUUCUCAUUUUGCUUGACUGCAUAUGGUUUUUGGAAUCAAUGAGGAGGGUAGUAACAAGGAAAAUGUCCAUGGGUUGGAGGUUCGAAAAUGAGAAGGGAGUGGUUUGGAUGAGGUCGUGAAUGAAGACAUGGUGGUGUCUGAUGGCUAGGUGAGUUUCUUGUUUACUGAUUAAAUCCUAUUGGUGAUUUGGAUUGAGGAAAACAGUUUGAUGAAGAAAGUGGUGUAAAGGGCAAAGGCAGUUUGAUUAUGAAGUGUGUUUUAUUGUUGUUCCAGUGAGAGUCGGAUUGACUUGGGGAAACAGGACAAUGCUUACUCUCUGUAUAUGCUUUCUAUGUUUGUUUCAAGGUAAAUGUUGAUGGACAUGGUUGGAGGAGAUAGGAUGGACAUAUGGGGGUUUAGUUUCCUGAUCUGACUGGGUUCGUUUUGUUUGAUACAGGUGAAGAAUGCCUUAGGAUGGAAAGCGGCUGUGGAAGAUAUUGCUUCCCAGACUGAAGGAACCCUUGGUUUUCUAGAAAGCAACUUCUGUUUCGGUUUUCUAUUUGCUGUUUUUCAUUUUUUAGAGUAUUUUUCUGGGUGCAAGGAAAGGGAAUAUUGAAGUCUUGAUGUUGGGGGUAUACAUGCCUAUGUUCUAUUGUGAGUGAUGCUGAUUGUAUUUGCAGACAUUGAAAAUGCAGUUUGAUAAAAAGAUGAAACCACAACCAAGACAACCACGACUAUACAUAAUAAUCAAACGUCAUUCGUUUAUCUCCAAGUAUGCAUAAGGAAAGCAUACAUGUAAGCAAGUCCAAGGAGCUUAGGUAUAAGCGUAUGAGGACUUACCUCCGCAGCUUCAAGACUCCUCUGCAGCUUCAAGACUCCUUUGCAACUUCAAAACUUGUAGCCUUAAGACUCCUCCGCAGCUUUCAGACCUUUCCUUUUGAUUCUACUUUCUUUGGUUCUCUUAGACAAAGGGUAAUGAUAGGUGAUGGGGGUGGGUCUCUGAUGUUCUCUGGUAGUGAAGUCGAUAAUGGAGUGUUGGAUAAGAAUAAUGGUACCAAGUAUUCUCCCCCUGCUGGUUAAGGUCUUUUUUUUUUUUUAUUUACUGUGAUGAAGCCCCAUUCAAAAACCAAACCCAAGCCCAUUCCCCUGCACUGCGUCCUGGGAACUCAGGCAUAUCUUUUGACUUAGGGAUUUUUUCUUUGUUUUUUUUCUUCGUUGUGUUUAAAUUUGAUCAGAUGGUAAAAGCCAUUGAGAUAUCUUCUGACUCUUUUGAUGUAUGGCACAACUUUGCAUAGGGAUUUUUAGCAAGAGUCACACAAUUGUUUUCUUAUGGGCAUGGUAUAAGCCAUUUCGAGCUUUCCUCUGUAACGUUGUCUGAUGCAGUGUUGAUCUGUGUUGCAGGAAAGACAAAAAGGCAAGAAAGAGCAGUUGACUUUGUGACUUUUGUUUUUGUUUCUUUCUGUUUUUUUUCGUUUUCCUUUUUUUCUUUUUUUCGUCUUUUUUUUGUUUUCUCUUUUUUUUCUUUUCUUUUCUCAUAAAAAUUUCCUUUUCUCAUAAAAAUUAAAGUAAAGAUAAAAAAAAACAACAAAAAAAAACUAACACAAAAUAAAACAAAUAACUCUAA